RNAcentral lists this ribosomal RNA (429 nucleotides) under Acidobacteriota bacterium. RNAcentral describes it as "Acidobacteria bacterium partial 16S ribosomal RNA". It matches the Rfam family "Bacterial small subunit ribosomal RNA", at positions 355 to 776 of the family's 1533-position model. Lineage: Bacteria; Pseudomonadati; Acidobacteriota. The record is from RNAcentral.
UGGGGAAUUUUGGACAAUGGGGGAAACCCUGAUCCAGCCAUCCCGCGUGUGCGAUGAAGGCCUUCGGGUUGUAAAGCACUUUUGGCAGGAAAGAAACGUCAUGGGUUAAUACCCCGUGAAACUGACGGUACCUGCAGAAUAACCACCGGCUAACUACGUGCCAGCAGCCGCGGUAAUACGUAGGGUGCAAGCGUUAAUCGGAAUUACUGGGCGUAAAGCGUGCGCAGGCGGUUCGGAAAGAAAGAUGUGAAAUCCCAGAGCUCAACUUUGGAACUGCAUUUUUAACUACCGGGCUAGAGUGUGUCAGAGGGAGGUGGAAUUCCGCGUGUAGCAGUGAAAUGCGUAGAUAUGCGGAGGAACACCGAUGGCGAAGGCAGCCUCCUGGGAUAACACUGACGCUCAUGCACGAAAGCGUGGGGAGCAAACAGG